RNAcentral lists this long non-coding RNA (5034 nucleotides) under Nicotiana tabacum (common tobacco). RNAcentral describes it as "long non-coding RNA (NTAB_LNC005670)". Lineage: Eukaryota; Viridiplantae; Streptophyta; Magnoliopsida; Solanales; Solanaceae. The record is from RNAcentral.
GGCAAUAUCAAUAGUGCUCCGCCCAAAAUAUUAGGCGUGAAGCCUGUCUUGGUGGCAAUAUCAAUAGUGCUCCGCACAGAAAUGAAAAUACAUAUAAUCAUAACCAAUAGUCUUCUGUUUACAUCUUGUGCACAGUAGGACAAUAUCAGUUGUUCAUUAUAAUACUAUUUUUGUGUAUUACUUGCAAAUAGUAUCACAAAUAACCAACUUCCUAUUGUAGGACAGGUAAAUAGUAGACUCUGAAAGCUUGUGGCACUUGAGUCAUUCGAGAUGACAGUUGUUCAAUGGUGUUAGGAUGCCAUAAACAAAAUGCCUAAGUUGGCAAGUGAAGUCAAGCAUCUCUUUAUAAAGGUGGAACUCAAAGGGGAUCCUAACGCCCUUCAGCCUUUUCCAGUUUGAUUUUGUUGAUUUCUUUAACAGCCACCCCAAGCUAAUAAAAUUUGACCUCCAUGGUUCCGUGCUGCUCUUUCUCAAAGAAAACAAUUUGAGAAAUAUGAGUCUGCUAUUUUUCAUUGCCCAACUGUUCCACAUGGUGCACUUAACGCUUGUGUCUUCAAGCACAUAAUAGCUUGUAGUCCACUAUUUCCUAUGAGUACAGGAUGUAAUGCGCAUCUUAGUAGUCAAUCUUGCUAAUCUGAAAGCAAUAGCAUAGCAAAAUAAUAAGCAGGAAAAGAGAAAGAUAAAAGCUACCAUUCAACAUGUAAAUUUCAAUAAUUGCAGUGAAGCAAUCUUAAGGAGCUAACGGCUUAAUUAUGCUAUAAAACAAAAGGAUGUUACACAAUUAUUCUCCUUUAAAGGCAUAAAAAACCAACAAUCAACUUACCGCUUUUGAUGUCCCACGAUUCUGCUCGUUUAAAAACGAAGGAGAAGGAUAGGGGUCGCUAGGUCAGAAAAGCGAUAACUAAAAAAUCUCCCCAAGUAGGAUUCGAACCUACGACCAAUCAGUUAACAGUCGACCGCUCUACCACUGAGCUAUUGGGAACAUCGGACUUAAUGUUGGAAGCCGACUCUCGUUCUUUGGACCAACCUAUGACCGAAUACAAAUGAGUUCGUCGCUCCUUUUCAUAUAUUGGGAGAAAAGGUUACGAUAGCAAGCCUCUCCCCGGCCGGAGAGCCUCCAGGACAAGGAGGCGGCAAUAAAAUCAAAUUUACUGCUGAAGAAUAAUAUAGUAAAAAUGCUCAUAAAUAAAAUAAAAUAAGGAAAUUUGACUAAACCAUUAAUUUUUCCUUGUUUAUUCUUUUUCCUAAUAUCUAUCUUGUUCAUGUGUAUAUACCUACAUCUAGUAUCUCCUAGCAAGCAACGACAAUCUCCUCGAUGGGAAAAUUAGAGCUUCACUUUUUGCUGCAACAGCUGGCUAUUGGAUUCGUUUGAACUUAACAGAAUACAUUAACCAUACAUUAUUCAGGUUCCUUGUUUUUAUUUUUUAUUUUUUUGGUUUCAGGUUCAUCCAGUAUAAAAAAUUAAAUUAAAAAGGUAGAAGCACCAAUAUUUUGUGUAAUUUCUACUCCAAUUUCAGAAACGCAACUAAACUUUCAGAUAAAAAGAAGAAUAUGGCUUAAUCAUUAAACCAGACGACAUAAAGAACAUAAACUCCAAUAUAUUGCAUCUAGUUUCAAAUAACAGAUAAGGAAAGAAUUAUGGAUAUCCCGUGCAACCACAUGGAAUGUGUGUAUGUGUUCAAGUGUUUCAGAAUAAAUUCUGCAGCUGACAAGUUCGACAAGAACCAGAAUGUACAUAGACUUCCACAGUUGAAGAGCAACUAACCAAUACAUAAUUGCAAUGUGAUAACUAAAAGUGGCUUCAUCAAGAUUAUAAACUUGCUAAUCCCUUAAUAUUCAAUAAUCUCUUCUUUCUAUUAAUAAUGCACCUUAAAUUUUACAGGCUUGAUCAAUUGAAUUCCUAGAGCCUUUGGGAAUAUCAUCCUUCCUCCAAAUACAAAUGAACAGAACACACUUUUCAAAGUGGACUAAGACGCUAAAGCUAAAGCCCUUCCUGUAAGAUAUAUAUAUAAAAAAAAGAAAAAAAAAAAAAAGAAGAAGAAGAAAACAAAAACAUGAAACUGGGUAGAAAUAUCUUGCUCAAGAGACUCUUCAUACUUCUCUCCUGCUCAAGCAACCAUGGUCUCACCACUUUAGGAUAAAAGGUUUCUAAAUUUAUGUGAUGAGCUAAACAACUCAGUGAACCCGCCAAAGUUUUACUCUAUUUUUUUUUCGUUAAUGCAAUUAAUCUAUCCACUAUGAGUUAAAAGUACGUCAUAUUCCCUGAAUGCACGCCUGCUUGUUCCCCUCAAACCAUGAAAUAAGUCCUCAUUCGUAUUCUCAUUAACUCGCAGAUGUCCUGAAAAAAUAAUCCUUCCAUAUAGCCCAAACUUCUACACCUCUAUAAUUAGUAGUCUCUGGCAGUCUGCUUCGACACUAACUAUUUGGCAAAAACAGAUGCUUACAAGGAAUUCUACCUUCACUAUUGGCAUGUUUUGUUUGGUUCCUCAAAAGGGAGCGAAUGGAAAGAGGUAGAGAGACUUACGGGUUUACCUCUAAUUGUUUGGUAAGUUGGUAUAAUUGCAAAUGAAUUAGAAAAAGAGCAAAGCUGCAUAUGCCUCCACUUUACCUUUUUUGAAACCAAGAGAGAAAACUAUCACUGGUUAUUUCUUCAGCAUAUCAUUCAAAUUACCAAAUAAAAUGAGUCGUACAUAUUAUCAAACACAUAGGGUGCAUAUUCCCACUUCAAAUCAUAAAUUGACAGAGAAAUUUAAAGAAAAAGCAUAGGGCAUAUGAAGAGACCCAGUCUUCCAACAAUAAGUUUGAUACCUUAUUUUUGCAGGACGGAUUAAUUAUUCACUAAUCAGUAGCAUAAGAAAAAAUUCAUCAAUAAGACAUAAUGCAUGUUUAGAUUAGGUACAAUUACUCACAUGCAAGUAAAAAUUGUAGCAGCACACUUUUCAAAAAGAACAGCAAAACUAUGUUCUUAUAGUCUCGGGAACAACUACUAAUUUUCAAGACAAAUCCAUAUAAAAUUAGGAAGGUCGAGAAUGUGGUUUGCUUUCUAUUAACAACUGAAUCAGCAACAAGGUUUCCAAUAACUCCUAUUAGAAGAACAUCACAUACCAUCAAUGAAAAAACCAGAAAGGUCCGACACUGAAACAGAGGCGGCUUAACACAGUUUGGGACUUGAACCAAAGUGUAAUGAGGGGCCUUAAGUUCUUCUAAAAAAAAUUAUAUAUAUUUUAUUUAAAGGCUAUUUUCUAGCUUUUUGAGUUACAAAGUUAUUAAUAAUUUUUUUAUAAUCUAUUUCCUCUAACAAUUCUUUUUCAAUUGAUAAAAUGGCUAAUCCAUUUAAUCUCUCUUGCGACAGAGUUGAUCUUAGGUAAAAUUUUAUCAAUUUUAAUUUUGAAAAACUUCUUUCCGCAGAGGCAAUUGUUAUAGGAACUGUUAACAUUAUUCUAUAAGCAAUAUAGGCAUUUGGAAAAGAAUCAAGUUUUUUAUCUGAUUGAGUAUGUCGACUAGAGUAUUAUCUUCUACUUGUACUAUUUCCCUCAAUACUUUUAAUUCAGAAAAUAAGUCUAGACCGUCAAUAUCAGAGUGAUUAUUAUGUCUUAAAGACAUUUCAAGGUUAAGGCAAAAAAAAUUCAAAUUCUCAUCAUCUAAUGACUUUAAUUUUUUACCACUAAACAAAAAACCAAAAAUAUGUUCAUACGCUUCGAAUUGUUCAAAUCUAUUUUGAAGCAAACGAAUGGCUUGAUCUACUAUAUACAAAAAGUAAUCUAUUCUAAAAGAUUCUUCAAGAGACUUUAUGGUUUCAUUUUCAACAUUCUCUUCAAAUUGUAUUUUUCUAUAUAUGACACGUUUUUUUACGAAAUUCAGGUUCUAUAUUCAUCUCAGAUGCAAUUUCCUUAGCAGAAAUCAUAGCAGUUGUGAACCCUUCUUCUCUAUAUCUUUGAAAAUAAGAAAUAAGGCCUCUUAGUUGAUCUAUGGCUACAUCAAUAUGCAUAUCUUUUGAUUGCAAACUUUUACUAACUGAAUUAACAGCAAACAACAUAUUAUACCAAAUAGUCAUACCCAAUAAAAACUCAAAAUUUUGAAGCUUGUAUGUCGCUAAACAAUUUACUUCACUUUUAGUUUUUGGAUCCACACUAGCUUCUACUAAUUUCAAUAAAGCAUCUCUUAUUUGUGGAGUUUGAAAUCUUGCCAUCAAAGUAGAUUUCUAAACGGAAUUAAAAUUUUAACUCUAAACUAUAAUAAGCAGCAUAAAAAUUUUAUUGUGAAAGUAUGAGUCUUAUGAGAUUGCAGUCAUAUCAUAUUGUGAAAUUUUAAGUAAUAAAAAAUCAAUACAUAUUAUAUAAAAAAAAAUUCAAUCCUCUCUUAAUUGACUAAUGACUACCAAAUCAGUCCCAAGUACAAUAUGUAGGAAAAAAAAUGCUUGAAAAGAAAGAAAAAAGUUAUCAUUAAAAAACAAAUUGUACUUACCAACUUUGUAUUUUAUUCCACAAAGAAUGAUCACAAGAUUCUUGUAAUUCUUUUGACAGGAAGGAGUAAGAAACUAAGAAUUAUCAUAAAGCUUUUUAGAAAUUAACAAAGAAAAGAAUUAAAGAAGAAGGCAGAGGCGGUUGAAGAAGGCAAGGUAGGGUAUAAACUUUGUAGUUGUGAAUAAAUAUAAAGAAAAAAAAGAAGAGAAGUCACUCCCCAAAAGGCAGAAACAGUAAAAGCAACCAUUCAUAUCCCCGACAUCCAGUAAUGAUAAAAGUAAACGUUGUUUUCCUUUUCCACAGCAAAAUUAUAGCUUUUCACAUUAAAUACUUAAAUUUUUUAAAAGGAAAAUAAAUACAUAAACCUAAAAACACUAAAAGAUGGGGCCUUCAAAUUUAGGGGGCGUAAAGCCCUAGCCUUACCUGCCUUGGGCUUCAGCCGCCUCUGCACUGAAAGAGUAAAGACAAAAGAGAAGCACAUAAUAAAGCUUAGAAACUCACAAAGAGAAAGAGAGAACAUCCAAAGCAAUGGAAGAGAAAGUGAAUUUCAGGGUUUGAGACCCAAAAUCUA